RNAcentral lists this transfer RNA (72 nucleotides) under Myotis brandtii (Brandt's bat). It matches the Rfam family "tRNA". From Rfam's summary of the family: Transfer RNA (tRNA) molecules are approximately 80 nucleotides in length. Their secondary structure includes four short double-helical elements and three loops (D, anti-codon, and T loops). The record is from Rfam by way of RNAcentral. Lineage: Eukaryota; Metazoa; Chordata; Mammalia; Chiroptera; Vespertilionidae.
GCUCUUUGGCUCAGUAGGUAGAGCAUUGGCCUGAGGAGCGAAGGGUCCUGGGUUCAAUUCCAGGCAAGGGCA